This 858-nucleotide ribosomal RNA is filed under the name uncultured fungus. Its description in RNAcentral is "SSU rRNA". It matches the Rfam family "Eukaryotic small subunit ribosomal RNA", at positions 612 to 1507 of the family's 1831-position model. Lineage: Eukaryota; Fungi. The record is from RNAcentral.
GUUGUGGUUAAAAAGCUCGUAGUUGAACCUUGGGCCUGGCUGGCCGGUCCGCCUCACCGCGUGCACUGGUCCGGCCGGGCCUUUCCCUCUGCGGAACCCCAUGCCCUUCACUGGGUGUGGCGGGGAAACAGGACUUUUACUUUGAAAAAAUUAGAGUGCUCAAGGCAGGCCUAUGCUCGAAUACAUUAGCAUGGAAUAAUAGAAUAGGACGUGUGGUUCUAUUUUGUUGGUUUCUAGGACCGCCGUAAUGAUUAAUAGGGACAGUCGGGGGCAUCAGUAUUCAAUUGUCAGAGGUGAAAUUCUUGGAUUUAUUGAAGACUAACUACUGCGAAAGCAUUUGCCAAGGAUGUUUUCAUUAAUCAGGAACGAAAGUUAGGGGAUCGAAGACGAUCAGAUACCGUCGUAGUCUUAACCAUAAACUAUGCCGACUAGGGAUCGGACGAUGUUACAUUUUUGACGCGUUCGGCACCUUACGAGAAAUCAAAGUGCUUGGGCUCCAGGGGGAGUAUGGUCGCAAGGCUGAAACUUAAAGAAAUUGACGGAAGGGCACCACCAGGGGUGGAGCCUGCGGCUUAAUUUGACUCAACACGGGGAAACUCACCAGGUCCAGACACAAUGAGGAUUGACAGAUUGAGAGCUCUUUCUUGAUUUUGUGGGUGGUGGUGCAUGGCCGUUCUUAGUUGGUGGAGUGAUUUGUCUGCUUAAUUGCGAUAACGAACGAGACCUUAACCUGCUAAAUAGCCCGUAUUGCUUUGGCAGUACGCCGGCCUCUUAGAGGGACUAUCGGCUCAGCGAUGAGUUUGAAGCAUACAGUCUGUGAUGCCCUAGAUGUCUGGGCGCCACGCGCGCUACACUGAC